AACGUUUUGGCUUUUUUGGACCCGAGGCAUGUGGGAUCGUAGCUCCCCGACCAGAGAUUGAACCCGCACCUCCUGUAUUGAAAGGCCAAGUCUUAACCACCGGACCUCCAGGGAAUUCCCCAAGGGAAAAGUUUUUGCAACUCAAACCCCUUGACGAGAGAAAAUGCCACCCCCAAAUCCUGUUUCCUGAGAGAGAGCAGAGAGCCUGGUAGGUAAGAACAGAACUCUGCUCUUUCUCUGUCUUUCUGUCAACAGGUGGUGUUGUCAGCCAUAAAAUCCCUGCUGAGGUCACAGCUCUGCUGUAAAUGGAGCUUCCAGUCACCCUAUUAAUGUCCAUUUGAGGUCUUCAGGAAACUCCUUCACUAGUUCCUCAAAGCAAGGGACCCUCUCACGACUUUGAAUGAGUGAACCAGCUAUAAACGAGUUUUGGAUGUUGCUUGCUUAAAAGCAAAGAACCUUUGCCAUGGGAGCACACCUGUAUACCUGGAUCAUAUGUCCACGGGGGCUCUCCAGCUUUACCCGGCGGUUGGUGUAUUGCAGAUGAAAAUUAUUUUCUCUGACUGUUGUGUGUUAUCUGAGUUCCAGUUAGGAAAACUCCAGCUGGACGGCAGAUGCCCGUACUCUUCUUACGGAACUUGAGCUGAGAUCAGCCUUAGGCAUUCUGGGCCUGCGGAGUCAGGAGCCCCAUCCCCUGUGGAUGACAUUACACUGGGCUAAUCGUAAAGGAUAUUUCCAGAUGCCCACGGCUCCACUGAUGUCUCAUCAGGAAUUGUGGACAUGAAGCCUAAGACGUUACGUUCCUUGUCUCAGGAUGGUUAGAGCUGCUGAUUGCAAACAGUGGAAUCUACUUGGACCAGUUUAAGCAGAAAAGGGAUUUACUAAAUGCUUUGAGGUCCACCACGGAAUCGUGCAGAAUGGAAAUGAGUUUUAAGACUAUGUUUCCAGGACCAACACCUGGACCGUGCGAUGCGACUGGACAAGUGAGAAAGUGGCCUCCACCUGCUUAAAGCCUGGGCAUCUGCUGCCGGAACUGACGCCCCUUCUCAGUGACGGAAGCUGCACGUGGACCCACAAAGUGGACGUUGUGUGGAGAGCCUGCUUCCUGGGAUGCUCGCUUCCAAACGCAGGGUCACCUGGGAGGCUGUGUGGCACAGAGGGAGCCCUCCAAGCCUCCCGGCUGCCAGGGAGGCUUAAUUAGAAAGACUUUUAGAAGAAAAUGGAAUGUGGUUGGAUUUAAAUGAAGCAAAACUUGAAAGACUGGAUCCAUCCAUUAUAGACUGUUAUUAUCAUCUAUAUAAUAAUGCAGAUUAUUAUAUCUGUAGUGCUGGUUUAAAAAUACAGAGGAAGGACUUCGGCAGGCCCAGGGCAGGUGACUGGAGCCUGUUUGAACGUGUUUCACCCCGUGCUCUUGUUUCACUCUUGGCCAGAAGCAAAGAUAUUGCAGCGAAAGUCACUGCUGCACACAUUAGACUUCCAGCUGGCUCGCUUGGACCUUUACCCUGACUUUUGGCAAAAAUUGUGUCAAAAGUGGUGCUGCUCUUGCAAACUAAGCACAUGUGGUCUGGCUAAACUCUUGUGUUUUAUUUGUAUUUUAAAGGACAUAACUAUAGUCACUAUAAGGUUUGAGGUGGGUGAACUACUUAGAGGGUAUCUGAUUGUGCUAGAAAAUAUAUUAAGAAAGCAAACCCUGCAUUCUGACUUCUGAGUGAAGAGAGGAUUUCAGACAAAAAUUUAAAAAAUAAA
Molecule: long non-coding RNA, 1743 nt
Organism: Lagenorhynchus albirostris (white-beaked dolphin)
Lineage: Eukaryota; Metazoa; Chordata; Mammalia; Artiodactyla; Delphinidae
Exons: 4
Source: RefSeq, a predicted model, not a curated record